CCUACGGCGGCAGCAGUGGGGAAUAUUGGACAAUGGGCGAAAGCCUGAUCCAGCCAUGCCGCGUGUGUGAAGAAGGCCUUCGGGUUGUAAAGCACUUUCAGUGGGGAAGAAAGCCUUGGGGCUAAUACCCUCGAGGAAGGACAUCACCCACAGAAGAAGCACCGGCUAACUCCGUGCCAGCAGCCGCGGUAAUACGGAGGGUGCGAGCGUUAAUCGGAAUUACUGGGCGUAAAGCGCGCGUAGGCGGUCUGAUAAGCCGGUUGUGAAAGCCCCGGGCUCAACCUGGGAACGGCAUCCGGAACUGUCAGGCUAGAGUGCAGGAGAGGAAGGUAGAAUUCCCGGUGUAGCGGUGAAAUGCGUAGAGAUCGGGAGGAAUACCAGUGGCGAAGGCGGCCUUCUGGACUGACACUGACGCUGAGGUGCGAAAGCGUGGGUAGCAAACAGGAUUAGAUACCCUGGUAGUC
Molecule: ribosomal RNA, 464 nt
Filed under: Vreelandella stevensii
Lineage: Bacteria; Pseudomonadati; Pseudomonadota; Gammaproteobacteria; Oceanospirillales; Halomonadaceae
Description: partial 16S ribosomal RNA
Rfam family: Bacterial small subunit ribosomal RNA
Source: RNAcentral